GCUCAGUAACACGUGGAUAACCUGCCCUAGGGAAGGGGAUAACCCCGGGAAACUGGGGAUAAUACCCUAUAGGUUACAGAUGCUGGAAUGCUCUGUAACCCAAAGUUCCGGCGCCCUAGGAUGGAUCUGCGGCCGAUUAGGUUGUUGUUGGGGUAAUGGCCCAACAAGCCAGUAAUCGGUACGGGUUGUGGGAGCAAGAGCCCGGAGUUGGAUUCUGAGACACGAAUCCAGGCCCUACGGGGCGCAGCAGGCGCGAAAACUUUACAAUGCGGGCAACCGUGAUAAGGGAACCUCGAGUGCCUGUAAAUGCAGGCUGUUUAGGUGUUUAAAACGCACCUGGAGAAAGGGCCGGGCAAGACCGGUGCCAGCCGCCGCGGUAAUACCGGCGGCUCGAGUGGUGGCCACUUUUAUUGGGCUUAAAGCGUUCGUAGCUGGGUUGUUAAGUCUCUUGGGAAAUCUGGCGGCUUAACCGUCAGGCGUCUAAGGGAUACUGGCAAUCUUGGAACCGGGAGAGGUGAGGGGUACUUCGGGGGUAGGAGUGAAAUCCUGUAAUCCUCGAGGGACCACCUGUGGCGAAAGGCGCCUCACCAGAACGGCUUCGACAGUGAGGGACGAAAGCUGGGGGAGCAACCGGAUUAGAUACCCGGGUAGUCCCAGCCGUAAACUAUGCGCGUUAG
This 677-nucleotide ribosomal RNA is filed under the name uncultured Methanoculleus sp. Its description in RNAcentral is "bacterial SSU rRNA". It matches the Rfam family "Archaeal small subunit ribosomal RNA", at positions 88 to 770 of the family's 1478-position model. The record is from RNAcentral. Lineage: Archaea; Methanobacteriati; Methanobacteriota; Methanomicrobia; Methanomicrobiales; Methanomicrobiaceae.